UACGUAGGCAGCGAGCGUUGUUCGGAGUUACUGGGCGUAAAGGGUGUGUAGGCGGUUUUCUAAGUUUGGUGUGAAAUCUCCCGGCUCAACCGGGAGGGUGCGCCGAAAACUGGGAGACUGAGAGUGCGGGUAUGGGGAGAGUAGAAUUCCUGGUGUAGCGGUGAAAAUGCGUAGAUAUCAGGAGGAAUACCGGUGGUGUAGACGGCUCUCUGGACCGCCACUGACGCUGAGACACGAAAGCGUGGUAGCAAACAGG
This 256-nucleotide ribosomal RNA is filed under the name uncultured bacterium. RNAcentral's name for it is "partial 16S ribosomal RNA". It matches the Rfam family "Bacterial small subunit ribosomal RNA", at positions 524 to 776 of the family's 1533-position model. The record is from RNAcentral.